Haliotis rubra (blacklip abalone) is the source of this 192-nucleotide long non-coding RNA. RefSeq lists it as uncharacterized. The transcript is spliced from 2 exons. Lineage: Eukaryota; Metazoa; Mollusca; Gastropoda; Lepetellida; Haliotidae. The record is from RefSeq and is a predicted model, not a curated record.
AAUUUAUCUCUUUACCCACCCGUUCCGGGUAUUGGGGUUACCCGUCCCAGUCCAAGAAGCACGGGCAUUGAAUCAUAAUAUGGAGUACCAGACGACAAGAAAAACAAGUUUAGAGUUAUCUCCCUUCCCCCGAUUUGCAUUAGCAAAACAUCGGUCAUUUCUGUACAUCAUAUGUCACUCAAUUAUUCGAGA